GGCGGCGUGCCUAACACAUGCAAGUCGUACGAGAAAGUUGGCUUCGGCCGAUGAGUAAAGUGGCGCACGGGUGAGUAAUGCGUGGAUAAUCUGCCCUUUAAGUUGGGAAUAACGUACCGAAAGGUGCGCUAAUACCUGAUAAUACUGCAUAACUACUGUUGUGUAAGUCAAAGAAGGCCUCUGUUUACAAGCUUUGCUGAAGGAUGAGUCCGCGUACCAUUAGCUGGUUGGUGGGGUAAUGGCCUACCAAGGCUACGAUGGUUAGCUGGUCUGAGAGGAUGAUCAGCCACACUGGAACUGAGACACGGUCCAGACUCCUACGGGAGGCAGCAGUGAGGAAUAUUGCGCAAUGGGGGCAACCCUGACGCAGCAACGCCGCGUGAGUGAGGAAGGUUUUCGGACCGUAAAGCUCUGUCGAGCGGGAAGAAAUGUAUCAUGGCUAAUAUCCAUGAUACUUGACGGUACCGCUAAAGGAAGCACCGGCUAACUCCGUG
This 494-nucleotide ribosomal RNA is filed under the name uncultured bacterium. Its description in RNAcentral is "bacterial SSU rRNA". It matches the Rfam family "Bacterial small subunit ribosomal RNA", at positions 38 to 507 of the family's 1533-position model. The record is from RNAcentral.